RNAcentral lists this ribosomal RNA (500 nucleotides) under uncultured bacterium. Its description in RNAcentral is "partial 16S ribosomal RNA". It matches the Rfam family "Bacterial small subunit ribosomal RNA", at positions 30 to 523 of the family's 1533-position model. The record is from RNAcentral.
AUUGAACGCUGGCGGAAUGCUUUACACAUGCAAGUCGAACGGGCUUGAGGGGCUUGCUCCUCAAGUUAGUGGCGAACGGGUGAGUAAUGCAUCGGAACGUACCUAGUCGUGGGGGAUAACGUAGCGAAAGUUACGCUAAUACCGCAUACGUCCUACGGGAGAAAGCAGGGGAUCGCAAGACCUUGCGCGAUUGGAUCGGCCGAUGUCUGAUUAGCUAGUUGGUGGGGUAAAGGCUCACCAAGGCGACGAUAAGUAGCGGGUCUGAGAGGAUGAUCCGCCACACUGGGACUGAGACACGGCCCAGACUCCUACGGGAGGCAGCAGUGGGGAAUUUUGGACAAUGGGGGCAACCCUGAUCCAGCCAUUCCGCGUGAGUGAAGAAGGCCUUCGGGUUGUAAAGCUCUUUCGGCAGGAACGAAACGGCGGGCUCUAACAUAGCCUGUUAAUGACGGUACCUGAAGAAGAAGCACCGGCUAACUACGUGCCAGCAGCCGCCGUAA